This 497-nucleotide ribosomal RNA is filed under the name uncultured bacterium. RNAcentral describes it as "partial 16S ribosomal RNA". It matches the Rfam family "Bacterial small subunit ribosomal RNA", at positions 28 to 507 of the family's 1533-position model. The record is from RNAcentral.
GAUGAACGCUGGCGGCGUGCCUAAUACAUGCAAGUCGAGCGAACGGACGAGAAGCUUGCUUCUCUGAUGUUAGCGGCGGACGGGUGAGUAACACGUGGAUAACCUACCUAUAAGACUGGGAUAACUUCGGGAAACCGGAGCUAAUACCGGAUGAUAUUUUGAACCGCAUGGUUCAAAAGUGAAAGACGGUCUUGCUGUCACUUAUAGAUGGAUCCGCGCUGCAUUAGCUAGUUGGUAAGGUAAUGGCUUACCAAGGCAACGAUGCAUAGCCGACCUGAGAGGGUGAUCGCCCACACUGGAACGGAGACACGGUCCAGACUCCUACGGGAGGCAGCAGUAGGGAAUCUUCCGCAAUGGGCGAAAGCCUGACGGAGCAACGCCGCGUGAGUGAUGAAGGUCUUCGGAUCGUAAAACUCUGUUAUGAGGGAAGAACAUAUGUGUAAGUAACUGUGCACAUCUUGACGGUACCUAAUCAGAAAGCCACGGCUAACUACGUG